Molecule: ribosomal RNA, 253 nt
Filed under: uncultured bacterium
Lineage: Bacteria
Description: partial 16S ribosomal RNA
Rfam family: Bacterial small subunit ribosomal RNA
Source: RNAcentral
UACGUAGGGCGCAAGCGUUAUCCGGAAUUAUUGGGCGUAAAGAGCUCGUAGGCGGUUUGUCGCGUCUGACGUGAAAGUCCGGGGCUCAACUCCGGAUCUGCGGUGGGUACGGGCAGACUGGAGUGAUGUAGGGGAGACUGGAAUUCCUGGUGUAGCGGUGAAAUGCGCAGAUAUCAGGAGGAACACCGAUGGCGAAGGCAGGUCUCUGGGCAUUAACUGACGCUGAGGAGCGAAAGCAUGGGGAGCGAACAGG